UACGUAGGUGUCAAGCGUUGUCCGGAUUUAUUGGGCGUAAAGCGCCCGCAGGCGGCUUGCCAAGUCUGACGUGAAAUCUCCCGGCUCAACUGGGAGGGUGCAGCGGAUACUGGCUGACUCGAGGAGGGUAGGGGCAUCUGGAACUAGCGGUGGAGCGGUGAAAUGCGUUGAUAUCGCGAGGAACUCCGGUGGCGAAGGCGAGGUGCUGGACCCUUUCUGACGCUGAGGCGCGAAAGCCAGGGGAGCGAACGGG
Molecule: ribosomal RNA, 253 nt
Filed under: uncultured bacterium
Lineage: Bacteria
Description: partial 16S ribosomal RNA
Rfam family: Bacterial small subunit ribosomal RNA
Source: RNAcentral